CUCGUCCGCCGGCCCGGCUGGGGAGUGGCGGGCGUGGGGGUGAGACGGGGCCACCCCGCGAGGGCUGGAUCUGCGGCCGGAACAGGGCAGCCGCCGGGGCUUGGCCGGAGCCGGGCCGCCCUGGAGACGACUCCCAGAUAAGGAAGGAGGGAAGGCACCGGCGCUUGCGCACUGCCCGGGUGAGAGGGGGCUGCACCCUGCCCGUGGCCAGAGGCCCCUGCUCCUCCACCUGGACCCCUCCUCGCCCUGGCUUGAUGUGAUGCCCCCUUCCCCGCUGCCGCUGGGACCCGCCACCCCCCCACCCCCGCGGGGCCUGCUGCUGCGGAGACCGCCAGGGCCGCGGACAGCGCCGGCCCCCAGAAGGGACAGCUAAUUGGGCAGAGAAAGGGCCCGAUUGUCUCCCCGGGGCCGG
Molecule: long non-coding RNA, 412 nt
Filed under: Dasypus novemcinctus (nine-banded armadillo)
Lineage: Eukaryota; Metazoa; Chordata; Mammalia; Cingulata; Dasypodidae
Description: lncRNA (ENSDNOG00000050522.1)
Source: RNAcentral